This 300-nucleotide signal recognition particle RNA is filed under the name Carlito syrichta (Philippine tarsier). RNAcentral describes it as "Metazoan signal recognition particle RNA (ENSTSYG00000035460.1)". It matches the Rfam family "Metazoan signal recognition particle RNA". Rfam says of the family: The signal recognition particle (SRP) is a universally conserved ribonucleoprotein. Lineage: Eukaryota; Metazoa; Chordata; Mammalia; Primates; Tarsiidae. The record is from RNAcentral.
GCCGGGUACAGUGACUUAUCCCUGUAGUCUCAGGUACUCAGGAGGCUGAGGCUGGAGGAUCGCUUGAGUCCAGGAGUUCUGGACUGUAGUGCACUAUGCUGGUUGGGUGUCCGCACUAAGUAUGGUAUCAAUAUGGUGGCCUCCUGGGAGCAAGGGAACACCAGGUUUGCCUACUGAGGGGUGAGCUGACCCAGGUCAGAAAUGGAGCGGGUCGAAACUCCCAUGCUGAUCCGUAGCGGGAUUGUGCCUAUAAAUAACUGCUGCACUCCAGCCUGGGCAACAGAGCGAUACCCUGUCUCU